GACGAACGCUGGCGGCGUGCUUAACACAUGCAAGUCGAACGGAAAGGCCCUGCUUUUGUGGGGUGCUCGAGUGGCGAACGGGUGAGUAACACGUGAGUAACCUGCCCUUGACUUUGGGAUAACUUCAGGAAACUGGGGCUAAUACCGGAUAGGAGCUCCUGCUGCAUGGUGGGGGUUGGAAAGUUUCGGCGGUUGGGGAUGGACUCGCGGCUUAUCAGCUUGUUGGUGGGGUAGUGGCUUACCAAGGCUUUGACGGGUAGCCGGCCUGAGAGGGUGACCGGCCACAUUGGGACUGAGAUACGGCCCAGAAUCCAACGGGAGGCAGCAGUGGGGAAUAUUGCACAAUGGGCGGAAGCCUGAUGCAGCAACGCCGCGUGCGGGAUGACGGCCUUCGGGUUGUAAACCGCUUUCGAAUGUGACGAAGCGUGAGUGACGGUAAUGGGUAAAGAAGCACCGGCUAACUACGUG
This 468-nucleotide ribosomal RNA is filed under the name uncultured bacterium. RNAcentral describes it as "partial 16S ribosomal RNA". It matches the Rfam family "Bacterial small subunit ribosomal RNA", at positions 28 to 507 of the family's 1533-position model. The record is from RNAcentral.